GCGACCUCAGGUCAGGCGGGGCUACCCGCUGAG
Molecule: ribosomal RNA, 33 nt
Filed under: Amicia glandulosa
Lineage: Eukaryota; Viridiplantae; Streptophyta; Magnoliopsida; Fabales; Fabaceae
Also listed under: 1 other name
Description: partial large subunit ribosomal RNA
Source: RNAcentral